CCUACGGGAGGCAGCAGUAGGGAAUCUUCCACAAUGGACGAAAGUCUGAUGGAGCAACGCCGCGUGAGUGAAGAAGGGUUUCGGCUCGUAAAGCUCUGUUGGUAGUGAAGAAAGAUAGAGGUAGUAACUGGCCUUUAUUUGACGGUAAUUACUUAGAAAGUCCCGGCUAACUACGUGCCAGCAGCCGCGGUAAUACGUAGGUGGCAAGCGUUGUCCGGAUUUAUUGGGCGUAAAGCGAGUGCAGGCGGUUCAAUAAGUCUGAUGUGAAAGCCGUCGGCUCAACCGGAGAAUUGCAUCAGAAACUGUAGGACUUGAGUGCAGAAGAGGAGAGUGGAACUCCAUGUGUAGCGGUGGAAUGCGUAGAUAUAUGGAAGAACACCAGUGGCGAAGGCGGCUCUCUGGUCUGCAACUGACGCUGAGGCUCGAAAGCAUGGGUAGCGAACAGGAUUAGAUACCCGUGUAGUC
This 465-nucleotide ribosomal RNA is filed under the name uncultured bacterium. RNAcentral's name for it is "partial 16S ribosomal RNA". It matches the Rfam family "Bacterial small subunit ribosomal RNA", at positions 338 to 795 of the family's 1533-position model. The record is from RNAcentral.